CAAGACAGAAAUGCUGGAGGCAGAGAUACUCACAGGAUUUGGAUGGCUCAUUGCAGCCUGCAAUAAAUGAGCCUGGAUAUGUAACAUCUCUCAGGAUCCAAAUAAAGGGUAUUCCCUUAGAAUCACUCAGUGGUGUAGUCAAAUGGUGCACAGGCAGUGAAAGCCUGCAUUAAGACCGCUGGUACUGGGAAACCUUCAGCUGCCUAGGUACAAAGAGGGAGGAGCUGACGCUGACCAGAUUGAUGAAUUUGCCUGCUAGAAUAUUAGAAGAUCUAUUCAUAUUACCUGACUCUGAAGAUUUCCUGUAUGAGAUGCUGGAAGACACAUUUUCAAACUUCAGUGCCUGAACUACAAAAUGAUGUUACGGUUUUUGGUUAAGCCUUCAAAAAAUUCUCAGUCAUACAUGCAACAAUAAUCUCUACAAGUUCUAUAAGAAUAAAAUAAUAUGAUACU
Molecule: long non-coding RNA, 453 nt
Filed under: Phasianus colchicus (ring-necked pheasant)
Lineage: Eukaryota; Metazoa; Chordata; Aves; Galliformes; Phasianidae
Description: lncRNA (ENSPCLG00000003518.1)
Source: RNAcentral